Molecule: ribosomal RNA, 1499 nt
Filed under: Weissella sp.
Lineage: Bacteria; Bacillati; Bacillota; Bacilli; Lactobacillales; Lactobacillaceae
Description: bacterial SSU rRNA
Rfam family: Bacterial small subunit ribosomal RNA
Source: RNAcentral
GAUGAACGCUGGCGGCGUGCCUAAUACAUGCAAGUCGAACGCUUUGUGGUUCAACUGAUUUGAAGAGCUUGCUCAGAUAUGACGAUGGACAUUGCAAAGAGUGGCGAACGGGUGAGUAACACGUGGGAAACCUACCUCUUAGCAGGGGAUAACAUUUGGAAACAGAUGCUAAUACCGUAUAACAAUGACAACCGCAUGGUUGUUAUUUAAAAGAUGGUUCUGCUAUCACUAAGAGAUGGUCCCGCGGUGCAUUAGCUAGUUGGUAAGGUAAUGGCUUACCAAGGCGAUGAUGCAUAGCCGAGUUGAGAGACUGAUCGGCCACAAUGGGACUGAGACACGGCCCAUACUCCUACGGGAGGCAGCAGUAGGGAAUCUUCCACAAUGGGCGAAAGCCUGAUGGAGCAACGCCGCGUGUGUGAUGAAGGGUUUCGGCUCGUAAAACACUGUUGUAAGAGAAGAAUGACAUUGAGAGUAACUGUUCAAUGUGUGACGGUAUCUUACCAGAAAGGAACGGCUAAAUACGUGCCAGCAGCCGCGGUAAUACGUAUGUUCCAAGCGUUAUCCGGAUUUAUUGGGCGUAAAGCGAGCGCAGACGGUUAUUUAAGUCUGAAGUGAAAGCCCUCAGCUCAACUGAGGAAUUGCUUUGGAAACUGGAUGACUUGAGUGCAGUAGAGGAAAGUGGAACUCCAUGUGUAGCGGUGAAAUGCGUAGAUAUAUGGAAGAACACCAGUGGCGAAGGCGGCUUUCUGGACUGUAACUGACGUUGAGGCUCGAAAGUGUGGGUAGCAAACAGGAUUAGAUACCCUGGUAGUCCACACCGUAAACGAUGAGUGCUAGGUGUUUGAGGGUUUCCGCCCUUAAGUGCCGCAGCUAACGCAUUAAGCACUCCGCCUGGGGAGUACGACCGCAAGGUUGAAACUCAAAGGAAUUGACGGGGACCCGCACAAGCGGUGGAGCAUGUGGUUUAAUUCGAAGCAACGCGAAGAACCUUACCAGGUCUUGACAUCCCUUGACAACUCCAGAGAUGGAGUGUUCCCUUCGGGGACAAGGUGACAGGUGGUGCAUGGUUGUCGUCAGCUCGUGUCGUGAGAUGUUGGGUUAAGUCCCGCAACGAGCGCAACCCUUAUUACUAGUUGCCAGCAUUCAGUUGGGCACUCUAGUGAGACUGCCGGUGACAAACCGGAGGAAGGUGGGGAUGACGUCAAAUCAUCAUGCCCCUUAUGACCUGGGCUACACACGUGCUACAAUGGCGUAUACAACGAGUUGCCAACCCGCGAGGGUGAGCUAAUCUCUUAAAGUACGUCUCAGUUCGGAUUGUGGGCUGCAACUCGCCUACAUGAAGUCGGAAUCGCUAGUAAUCGCGGAUCAGCACGCCGCGGUGAAUACGUUCCCGGGUCUUGUACACACCGCCCGUCACACCAUGAGAGUUUGUAACACCCAAAGCCGGUGGGGUAACCUUCGGGAGCCAGCCGUCUAAGGUGGGACAGAUGAUUAGGGUG